AUGGCUCAGAACGAACGCUGGCUCCGUGCUUAAACAUGCAAGUCGAGCGAGAACCAGGGCUUCGGCCCUGGGGACAGCCGCGAACGGGUGAGUAACACGUGAGUAAUCUGCCCUCGGCACCGGGAUAGCCCGGGGAAACCCGGAUUAAUACCGGAUAGCCUCCGAAGCCUUCGGGCGUCGGAGCAAAGGUAGCUUCGGCCUCUGGCCGAGGAUGAGCUCGCGGCGGAUUAGCUUGUUGGUGGGGUAAUGGCCUACCAAGGCGACGAUCCGUAGCUGGUCUGAGAGGACGAUCAGCCACACUGGGACUGAGACACGGUCCGGACUCCUACGGGAGGCAGCAGUGGG
This 345-nucleotide ribosomal RNA is filed under the name uncultured bacterium. Its description in RNAcentral is "bacterial SSU rRNA". It matches the Rfam family "Bacterial small subunit ribosomal RNA", at positions 19 to 358 of the family's 1533-position model. The record is from RNAcentral.